GGGGUUGCCGCCCGGCGGUUGUUGGGGCGGCCCUUGGGCAGGGUUGCCGUUCCGGUGUGCCGGGGAGGGUGCGGGCUUCGUGUGCCCGCGGUCACU
This 96-nucleotide transfer RNA is filed under the name Streptomyces sp. PLM4. RNAcentral's name for it is "tRNA-Pro". Lineage: Bacteria; Bacillati; Actinomycetota; Actinomycetes; Kitasatosporales; Streptomycetaceae. The record is from RNAcentral.